Non-coding RNA from Pelecanus crispus (Dalmatian pelican), 72 nucleotides. The record is from Rfam. NCBI's taxonomy places the organism in Eukaryota, Metazoa, Chordata, Aves, Pelecaniformes, Pelecanidae.
UCCCUGGUGGUCUAGUGGUCAGGAUUUGGCAUUCUCACUGCUGUGGCCUGGGUUCGAUUCCCAGCCAGGGAA